CUUGAAGGAGCCCAGCCAGAGCGGUUCGUCGCGGUCCUGGCCGUAGGUGGCGAGGAGCGCGGACGCCUC
RNAcentral lists this antisense RNA (69 nucleotides) under Actinokineospora cianjurensis. RNAcentral's name for it is "ASpks TB sRNA". It matches the Rfam family "ASpks TB sRNA". Lineage: Bacteria; Bacillati; Actinomycetota; Actinomycetes; Pseudonocardiales; Pseudonocardiaceae. The record is from RNAcentral.